Molecule: non-coding RNA, 165 nt
Organism: Erinaceus europaeus (western European hedgehog)
Lineage: Eukaryota; Metazoa; Chordata; Mammalia; Eulipotyphla; Erinaceidae
Source: Rfam
AAGCAUGUCUGUCGGCAAGGGAGAUACCAUGAUCACGAAGGUGGUUUUCCUAGGGCGAGGGUUAUCCAUUGCACUCCAGAUGUGCUAACCCCUAUGAUUUCCCCAAAUGUGGGAAACUCGACUGGAUAAUUUGUGGUAGUGGGGGACUGUGUUCAAGGUCUCCUC